Molecule: ribosomal RNA, 301 nt
Filed under: uncultured bacterium
Lineage: Bacteria
Description: partial 16S ribosomal RNA
Rfam family: Bacterial small subunit ribosomal RNA
Source: RNAcentral
CAGUAGCCGCGGUAAAACGUAGGGUGCAAGCGUUAAUCGGAAUUACUGGGCGUAAAGCGUGCGCAGGCGGUUAUAUAAGACAGAUGUGAAAUCCCCGGGCUCAACCUGGGAACUGCAUUUGUGACUGUAUAGCUAGAGUACGGCAGAGGGGGAUGGAAUUCCGCGUGUAGCAGUGAAAUGCGUAGAUAUGCGGAGGAACACCGAUGGCGAAGGCAAUCCCCUGGGCCUGUACUGACGCUCAUGCACGAAAUCGUGGGGAGCAAACAGGAUUAGAUACCCGCGUAGUCCCUGUCUCUUAUAA